GAUGAACGCUGGCGGCGUGCCUAAUACAUGCAAGUCGAGCGAACGGACGAGAAGCUUGCUUCUCUGAUGUUAGCGGCGGACGGGUGAGUAACACGUGGAUAAACUACCUAUAAGACUGGGAUAACUUCGGGAAACCGGAGCUAAUACCGGAUAAUAUUUUCAACCGCAUGGUUGAAAAGUGAAAGACGGUCUUGCUGUCACUUAUAGAUGGAUCCGCGCUGCAUUAGCUAGUUGGUAAGGUAACGGCUUACCAAGGCAACGAUGCAUAGCCGACCUGAGAGGGUGAUCGGCCACACUGGAACUGAGACACGGUCCAGACUCCUACGGGAGGCAGCAGUAGGGAAUCUUCCGCAAUGGGCGAAAGCCUGACGGAGCAACGCCGCGUGAGUGAUGAAGGUCUUCGGAUCGUAAAACUCUGUUAUUAGGGAAGAACAUAUGUGUAAGUAACUGUGCACAUCUUGACGGUACCUAAUCAGAAAGCCACGGCUAACUACGUG
This 497-nucleotide ribosomal RNA is filed under the name uncultured bacterium. RNAcentral's name for it is "partial 16S ribosomal RNA". It matches the Rfam family "Bacterial small subunit ribosomal RNA", at positions 28 to 507 of the family's 1533-position model. The record is from RNAcentral.